CAGUCGAGCGAAUCGAUGGGAGCUUGCUCCCUGAGAUUAGCGGCGGACGGGUGAGUAACACGUGGGCAACCUGCCUAUAAGACUGGGAUAACUUCGGGAAACCGGAGCUAAUACCGGAUACGUUCUUUUCUCGCAUGAGAGAAGAUGGAAAGACGGUUUMGGCUGUCACUUAUAGAUGGGCCCGCGGCGCAUUAGCUAGUUGGUGAGGUAAUGGCUCACCAAGGCGACGAUGCGUAGCCGACCUGAGAGGGUGAUCGGCCACACUGGGACUGAGACACGGCCCAGACUCCUACGGGAGGCAGCAGUAGGGAAUCUUCCGCAAUGGACGAAAGUCUGACGGAGCAACGCCGCGUGAACGAAGAAGGCCUUCGGGUCGUAAAGUUCUGUUGUUAGGGAAGAACAAGUACCAGAGUAACUGCUGGUACCUUGACGGUACCUAACCAGAAAGCCACGGCUAACUACGUGCCAGCAGCCGCGGUAAUACGUAGGUGGCAAGCGUUGUCCGGAAUUAUUGGGCGUAAAGCGCGCGCAGGUGGUUCCUUAAGUCUGAUGUGAAAGCCCACGGCUCAACCGUGGAGGGUCAUUGGAAACUGGGGAACUUGAGUGCAGAAGAGGAAAGUGGAAUUCCAAGUGUAGCGGUGAAAUGCGUAGAGAUUUGGAGGAACACCAGUGGCGAAGGCGACUUUCUGGUCUGUAACUGACACUGAGGCGCGAAAGCGUGAGGGAGCAAACAGGAUUAGAUACCCUGGKAGUCCACGCCGUAAACGAUGAGUGCUAAGUGUUAGAGGGUUUCCGCCCUUUAGUGCUGCAGCUAACGGAUUAARCACUCCGCCUGGGGAGUACGGGCGCAAGGCUGAAACUCAAAGAAUUGACGGGGGGCCCGCACAGCGGUGUAGCAUGUGGUUUAUUCRAACAACGCGAAGAAACCUUACCAGGU
RNAcentral lists this ribosomal RNA (937 nucleotides) under Peribacillus simplex. RNAcentral's name for it is "bacterial SSU rRNA". The record is from RNAcentral. Lineage: Bacteria; Bacillati; Bacillota; Bacilli; Caryophanales; Bacillaceae.